RNAcentral lists this ribosomal RNA (583 nucleotides) under uncultured bacterium. RNAcentral describes it as "partial 16S ribosomal RNA". It matches the Rfam family "Bacterial small subunit ribosomal RNA", at positions 355 to 937 of the family's 1533-position model. The record is from RNAcentral.
UGGGGAAUUUUGGACAAUGGGCGAAAGCCUGAUCCAGCAAUGCCGCGUGUGUGAAGAAGGCCUUCGGGUUGUAAAGCACUUUUGUCCGGAAAGAAAUCCUUGGCUCUAAUACAGUCGGGGGAUGACGGUACCGGAAGAAUAAGCACCGGCUAACUACGUGCCAGCAGCCGCGGUAAUACGUAGGGUGCAAGCGUUAAUCGGAAUUACUGGGCGUAAAGCGUGCGCAGGCGGUUUGCUAAGACCGAUGUGAAAUCCCCGGGCUCAACCUGGGAACUGCAUUGGUGACUGGCAGGCUAGAGUAUGGCAGAGGGGGGUAGAAUUCCACGUGUAGCAGUGAAAUGCGUAGAGAUGUGGAGGAAUACCGAUGGCGAAGGCAGCCCCCUGGGCCAAAUACUGACGCUCAUGCACGAAAGCGUGGGGAGCAAACAGGAUUAGAUACCCGUAGGUCACGCCCUAAACGAUGUCAACUAGUUGUUGGGGAUUCAUUUCCUUAGUAACGUAGCUAACGCGUGAAGUUGACCGCCUGGGGAGUACGGUCGCAAGAUUAAAACUCAAAUGAAUUGACGGGGUCAUAGCUGUUUCC